UCGAGAAUCUUCGGCAAUGGGCGCAAGCCUGACCGAGCGACGCCGCGUGUGGGAUGAAGGCCCUUGGGUUGUAAACCACUGUCAGAGGGGAUGAAGUGCCAGCCAGUUAUCUGGUUGGUUUGACAUAGCCUCAGAGGAAGCACGGGCUAAGUUCGUGCCAGCAGCCGCGGUAAUACGAACUGUGCAAACGUUAUUCGGAAUCACUGGGCUUACAGGGUGCGUAGGCGGCUUGCUAAGUAGGGUGUGAAAGCCCCCGGCUUAACCGGGGAAUGGCGCCCUAAACUGGCGAGCUGGAGUGAGAUAGGGGUGUGCGGAACUUCCGGUGGAGCGGUGAAAUGUGUUGAUAUCGGAAGGAACGCCGGUGGCGAAAGCGGCACACUGGAUCUCAACUGACGCUGAGGCACGAAAGCCAGGGGAGCGAACGGG
Molecule: ribosomal RNA, 426 nt
Filed under: uncultured bacterium
Lineage: Bacteria
Description: bacterial SSU rRNA
Rfam family: Bacterial small subunit ribosomal RNA
Source: RNAcentral